CAGCCGCCACGGUAAUACGUAGGUGGCAAGCGUUGUCCGGAAUUAUUGGGCGUAAAGGGCUCGCAGGCGGUUUCUUAAGUCUGAUGUGAAAGCCCCCGGCUCAACCGGGGAGGGUCAUUGGAAACUGGGAAACUUGAGUGCAGAAGAGGAGAGCGGAAUUCCACGUGUAGCGGUGAAAUGCGUAGAGAUGUGGAGGAACACCAGUGGCGAAGGCGACUCUCUGGUCUGUAACUGACGCUGAGGAGCGAAAGCGUGGGGAGCGAACAGGAUUAGAUACCCCUGUAGUCCCUGUCUCUUAUAC
Molecule: ribosomal RNA, 301 nt
Filed under: uncultured bacterium
Lineage: Bacteria
Description: partial 16S ribosomal RNA
Rfam family: Bacterial small subunit ribosomal RNA
Source: RNAcentral